Molecule: ribosomal RNA, 497 nt
Filed under: uncultured bacterium
Lineage: Bacteria
Description: partial 16S ribosomal RNA
Rfam family: Bacterial small subunit ribosomal RNA
Source: RNAcentral
GAUGAACGCUGGCGGCGUGCCUAAUACAUGCAAGUCGAGCGAGCAGACGAGGAGCUUGCUCCUCUGACGUUAUCGGCGGACGGGUGAGUAACACGUGGAUAACCUACCUAUAAGACUGGGAUAACUUCGGGAAACCGGAGCUACUACCGGAUAAUAUAUUGACCCGCAUUGUUCCAUAGUGAAAUACGGUUUUUCUUUCGCUUAUAGAUUGAUACGCGCCGCAUUCAUUUGUUGGUGAGGUAACGGCUUACCAAGGCUGCGAUGGGUACCCGACCUGAACGGGAGAAUGGACAGACGGGAAGUGAGACACGGUACAGACUCCGACGGUAAGCAGCAGUAGGGACUCCUACGCGAGGGGGCAGAGCGUGAUGGAGCAACGCCGCGUGAGUGCUGAAGGUGUACGGACCGGAAAACGAUGUUAUUCGUGAAGAAGAAAUGUGUAAUUAACCAUGCACGUAUUGACAGUACCGGGACAGAAAGCCACGGCUAACUACGUG